GUCACCGGGUAUUUGCAAACAAUAAAGCAUUUCCAGGCGAUAGUUGUAGGAUAUUGAAGCCUGAAGGACUUGCAGUUGAUUAUUUGUGACUGUGAGAGCGGCAGGAACAGUGAGAUGAAAGUUGUGCAUUGUGCAAUGUGCAAGGAGUUGGGAACAAUUAUCGACGGCUCAGAUCGGCGGCCCAGUCACCGCCCGCGGCCAUCAGAGGUCAUCACCGGGGUUAAUCGGCUUGGCGGGCCGGUCUAGCUGCCAGGGGCCGACUGCCGCCGGCGCCCGCCGCGCCGCCCCGUCCACCACCCGGCCAUGCAACACUCAUCAAUCGGACCCGACCCGAGGCAGAUCACCCCCCCCUCCCCCCAGCUACAUGGCUGGUCGACUUUCAUUUGAAGAUGUCCCGCCCUCUUAUGAAGAACAAUUACUGUGUUUAUUGUAGGUAUGUUUUAAUUGCCAAUGUCUCAAUAAAAUCCGGAGCACGGCUCCAA
Amphibalanus amphitrite is the source of this 482-nucleotide long non-coding RNA. RefSeq lists it as uncharacterized. NCBI's taxonomy places the organism in Eukaryota, Metazoa, Arthropoda, Thecostraca, Balanomorpha, Balanidae. The record is from RefSeq and is a predicted model, not a curated record. The transcript is spliced from 2 exons.